This 254-nucleotide ribosomal RNA is filed under the name uncultured bacterium. RNAcentral's name for it is "partial 16S ribosomal RNA". It matches the Rfam family "Bacterial small subunit ribosomal RNA", at positions 524 to 776 of the family's 1533-position model. The record is from RNAcentral.
UACGUAGGGUGCAGGCGUUAAUCGGAAUUACUGGGCGUAAAGCGUGCGUAGGUGGUUUGUUAAGUCUGUUGUGAAAGCCCCCGGGCUCAACCUGGGAAUGGCAAUGGAUACUGGCAGGCUAGAGUGCGGUAGAGGGUAGUGGAAUUCCCGGUGUAGCGGUGAAAUGCGCAGAUAUCAGGAGGAACACCGAUGGCGAAGGCAGGUCUCUGGGCCACUACUGACGCUGAGAAGCGAAAGCAUGGGGAGCAAACAGG